RNAcentral lists this ribosomal RNA (530 nucleotides) under cf. Terebellida sp. DH-2009. RNAcentral's name for it is "partial 16S ribosomal RNA". It matches the Rfam family "Archaeal large subunit ribosomal RNA", at positions 1921 to 2666 of the family's 2987-position model. The record is from RNAcentral. Lineage: Eukaryota; Metazoa; Annelida; Polychaeta; Terebellida.
UGCCUUUUGAUUUUUUAUAAAAGGUCCAUCCUGCCCAGUGACCUAAGGGUUUAACGGCCGCGGUACCCUGACCGUGCUAAGGUAGCGUGAUAAUUCGCCCUUUAAUUGUGGGCUCGUAUGAACGGAUAAACGAAAAACUUACUGUCUCAAUUUUACCUUUAAAAAUUGGCCUUCAGGUGAAGAGACCUGAAUAAAAAUAGAGGACAAGAAGACCCCGUAGAGCUUUAGUGCUUUAUCUAUAUACCCCUUAAUUUAUUUACUUAAAAUAAAACUAUCUUUUUUAUACGCUUUGCUGGGGCGGCAGAGGAAAACUAAUCUUCCAUCUCAACCUUUAUUGCUCUUUUCGGUUUCAAACCUUAAAUCUAAUGAUCCUUUUAAGAACAAAGAAAAUAGCUACCUCGGGGAUAACAGAUUAAUCCUUCUUGAGAGCCCGCAUUGACAGAAGGGAUUGACACCUCGAUGUUGGCUUAGGAUACCCAAUGGGUUUGCAGCAGCCCAUAAUGGUAGGUUUGUUCAACCUUUAAAAUCCU